Long non-coding RNA from Micropterus dolomieu (smallmouth bass), 1690 nucleotides. RefSeq lists it as uncharacterized. The transcript is spliced from 2 exons. The record is from RefSeq and is a predicted model, not a curated record. Lineage: Eukaryota; Metazoa; Chordata; Actinopteri; Centrarchiformes; Centrarchidae.
AAUAGCUACAGUCAGAUUUGUGUUCAGUAAGGGUGGAAAUAUAAGAUAGUAGUUUACCCAGAAUGGCUUUAUAAAUGAACAAGUACCAAUCAGGGCUCAACGCUAACUUUUUUCCCAGAAGGGGCACAAAGGAAGAAAUUUAAGUAUUUUUAAGUUCCAGAGUUUAUUAUAAUCAUAUUAUACUACCUGCCUGUGCUCCUCCUCCUUGUGCACAAUCAUGAUUUGAAACCAGUGGAGGACUAUGGAGACCCUGGUACCUGGACACUUGGCAUGGGUCCAAAAUAUUGUCAAAGCUUUUUAAAAUAUUGACAGCUUUUAAAACACUGAUGACUCUCUUGUUUUUGUAUGAGUUGCUCAAGUGGUAUUUCUCUCGGUGUUGCCAGCCGCCAGUCCGACUAUGUUUUAAACGGACAGCUUCAGGGAUUCCAGUAAUAACCUUUCCCACACACUGUGCCCGUAAAUAAUUUUUCUGGUUUGCACUUAUCUAUUUUUAGAGGCAUUUGCAUCCAAGUCUCCAAGUGGUCAGGGAUGGCCAACCAAUGCUGGAGUAAAGUGUACACUGAUGAGUUAGAGUGGAAACCUUGCAGUGUGCAGAUGCAUUCGUGUACAGCAGAACACCAUAGUCAAUAACCAGUAAAAACAUAACAGAAAGGUCUAUUUCUGAAACGGGACUUGUUUCUGAAAUAAAAGCCAGACUAAAGUCUCAACUUUUUGUAUAGAAAGUAUUUGGCUGUGUCAAACCAAAGUCAUACCGACACCACACGUGAUGUCCUGUUAGCAUAAAAUGUUGGCAGUUUUGUAACCUAACUGCUAAAAUAGUAAACUAUACUGUAUGUAAUUAGUAUGGAGUUUGGAGUCUACAGCCGUGCUAGCAGCUCUGUAAGGCUGUAUGUAAGGCACAGCAGCGCUUUAAGCUACAUGCUAUCAGCACGCUAACAAUGCUCACAAUGAAUAUGCUAACAUGUUGAUGCUAAGCAGGUAUAAUGUGUCCGGUGUCAUGUUCACCAUCUUAGUUUAGUGUGUUAGCAUGCUAGCAUUUGUCAAUUAGUGCUAAAAACUGAGAACAGCUGAGGCUGAUGGGAAAUAGUUGUGCAGGUAUUCGGUCUGGCGCUAGAGGAAUUGAUGACAGAUGGCUGUAGGGCUCCAGUUUGAAAAAUGUUUUGGUUUUCUUAGUGAACUGAAUAUCUUUUUGUUUUGUCCAACCAACAGUCCAAAACCAAGACGUCUGAAGAUGUCCCUUUGGGCUCCGGGGACUUGUGAUGAGCAGCUUUACUGACCUAAAGAUUAGAGAAAUAAGAGAAUUCUCAUCACAUGAAGAUCUGAAGAAGAAUGAACAGAGGAGGGGAAACUUCAGUGGACAUGACUCUUUUUCUCAUUAGUUUCAUAUCAGUUUGUUUUCAACAGUUUUGUACACGAGUAUGUUUUAUUUUUUAUUACUGCGUGUCUUGUGUAUAGAUUUUCAGAUUAACUCAACAGUGUUCUUCAUCAUUAGCUUGUUUAAUGUUCUCUGACUAAGACAAAGUCUGUACGUCGGCUUUUAGUCGUCAUGUUUAGGCAGCAAAAGAAAAGAAAGCCAGUGAGUCAUCUUAACGCCAAAUCCUCUCUUUGCUUUUGACUCUUUCUGGAUUCAAAUGUGUACAUAUGUUUCUAAUUAGGUGAAGCUAUUUUUGAUUAAAACACAUUAACUCAU